AAAAGCCAUUUUCUAUACAUGGCAUUAAACCGAUCAAAAUCUGUCAAGGUAGGGGUUUAACAACAGUCGUACACUCAUCAGUGAAAACCCAUUUGUUGAAAGCACGAAAACUUCAAAUCCCCUUCACAUUCUAAUUUUAAUACUACAUCAAAAGGAAGAACUAGAAACAAGGACGACUAUAUAGACAUGUACAAUUGAAGAAGAACAGAAACUCUGAUUACUAAUUACUUACUAUAAAAGUAUAACAACGAUUUAAUUUGAUUACAAUUGAGUUACUAUUUCAUUCCCUUCAAAAUAUUCUCUCACCAGAACUAUAUACUGUACAACACAAUGACAAAGCAUGGAAGAAAUCAACAUGAACUAAUAGUUCUUUGUAGGUUUCAUUCUCUCCAGCAGACAAGCAUUGUGAUGCACCUCCAGAAGAUAUAGAACCUUGCCCUUUGCUCCUUACCAAGCCUAGUGCAUCUCCUUCCAAAGGAUUUGAAGGGUUCACAGACAUGUCUAGUGCAGGAGCUGAUGUCUUCUUGCAUCAUAUCUCUCUCAAUGAAUAAAUAUUUCUUGUGAUGAUUGGUUUUGUUCUUUCUGAAGUUGAUGAUAUGUAGCUACAAAUUAAAUGCUUUGUGUUACUUUGGAGAAAGAGAGAAUAAGAAAAAAAAGGGAGAGGCAACUUGAUAGUAAGGUGUGGUGUGGAGAGGUGAAGUUUCCAAUUGUAUGGUUUGGUGGUGUGAUUGUGAGGGAAGUUUAUGCUUUAUAGGUGUGGUACACGAAGGAACGUACAAUGAUUUGAGCUUUGU
Molecule: long non-coding RNA, 794 nt
Filed under: Glycine max (soybean)
Lineage: Eukaryota; Viridiplantae; Streptophyta; Magnoliopsida; Fabales; Fabaceae
Description: long non-coding RNA (GMAX_LNC002318)
Source: RNAcentral